AACGCGAAGAACCUUACCUGGAUUUGACAUCCUCGGCCCGCCCUAGAGAUAGGGAAUUCGUAGCAAUACGACCGAGAGACAGGUGCUGCAUGGCUGUCGUCAGCUCGUGUGGUGACAUGUUGGGUUAAGUCCCGCAACGAGCGCAACCCUUAUCCCUAGUUGCCAUCGGGUCAAGCCGGGCACUCUAGUGAAACCGCCCAGGAUAACUGGGAGGAAGGUGGGGAUGACGUCAAGUCCUCAUGGCCUUUAUGUCCAGGGCUACACACGUGCUACAAUGGUCGGUACAAACCGUCGCAAACCCGCGAGGGGGAGCUAAUCGGAAAAAGCCGGCCUCAGUUCGGAUUGGAGUCUGCAACCCGACUCCAUGAAGCUGGAAUCGCUAGUAAUCGCGGAUCAGAACGCCGCGGUGAAUACGUUCCCGGGCCUUGUACACACCGAGACGAC
Molecule: ribosomal RNA, 444 nt
Filed under: uncultured bacterium
Lineage: Bacteria
Description: bacterial SSU rRNA
Rfam family: Bacterial small subunit ribosomal RNA
Source: RNAcentral